AUUGUCAUACCAUCUAAGAAGUUGAGGGAGCGAUACACUCCUACACUGUUGGUUAGGAGGAAGAAAAGAGCAAUAACCAACGUACUCUCCUAUCGGAAAUAAAAAAUAAUUGCAACUCCUCCCUCUACAAAAUUUGUUAAAGUUCAGGGGCCAUUCAAGAAGGUAGACAUAUAUGUAGAACUUGGUGCCAAAGAGAAGAGGGAUCUGCGAUAGGCCAAGAGUGCCAAGACAGGAGCACCAGAUUACCCCGGGCCUCCCUUUUCCCCCCAAGACUUCCAGACUAUGAUAGAUAUACGUAUGUGUAACAAGGACAAGGCAAUUUUACUUUUUCUAACCUAUAUUUCUAAUCUAAUAUACCCCAUGA
RNAcentral lists this long non-coding RNA (364 nucleotides) under Capsicum annuum. Its description in RNAcentral is "long non-coding RNA (CANN_LNC007233)". The record is from RNAcentral. Lineage: Eukaryota; Viridiplantae; Streptophyta; Magnoliopsida; Solanales; Solanaceae.